GUGGAAAGGGAUCGGUGGGGGCUCGAUCUCAUACAGGGAUGCCGGCGGCGCGGCAACACAGGCGGUCCACGAUGGGAUCCACUGUUCGCUGGUCUUCCCAGUGGAUCGAGCCGAGGCGCUCAAGGCGAUCCAGCGGCGCGCGGCCUUCUCAGUGGAUCCAGCCGAGGCGCGCCAGGGAAUCAUCCUAGGGUUUGGAGUUGGUGACCGAGGAGGAGGCGGCACCGGCGAUGGUGCGCAAGCCGUGCACGAGGCCACGGCGACUCCACAAAGUCUGCUCUGCUCUCCCCGACCCUUGACGGCGUGCUCUCCGAUCUCCACUCCCUCCUUCUCUCCACGCUUGUCGCGUGGCUGCCCUCCCCAUCACCAUGGCGACGAUGUGAGUUUCCCCACUCAGGCCCCUUUUUCAUCUCCUCCCCGUGUGCAUCACCUUUAUACCGCACGAGCAGAAAUUGCCUCUCAUUCCUAUCCUGUGCGGAACAAGUUAGGCCUGGAAGGUGGGAGAUAUGAACUUAUAGCCUGCCUUGUGAAUGUUUGAUUAGGAAUGAGGUGAUCUGAUGGGAUGAUGUUGUUUUUCAAGCAGAGGUCUGGAAGGGGGGAGAUAUGAGAUUAUAGCCUGCCUUGGUGGUCACGUUGAGGGAUCAAUCCUGUUGUUUCCUUAUUAGAAAAUAAAUUGGUGUAUUUCUGAUAAGAAUUUUGUACAUUAUGAUGCAAGUUUAUCUACUUUUUACCUGGGACGGCUGCAUGAUUUUGUGACUGAUUGCUACAGAAUUUUCUUGUAGGUUCUAAAGACUCGAGGUCAUUGACCCUCAUCACGGAAUCUAACAUGGAGCAACAUGUUAAUGUCGUCGACACAUAUUUUCUAUUUGAUCAUGUAUGCUCCUGUAUCUCAGACAUUUUUCAUAUAUAUGCACAUAUGGCAAUAGCCAUCUUCUUAAGUUGUUUUAAGUAGUCCUACAUACAAUUGAACUCAGAACGCAUGGUCAUGCCUCUGCUUAAGUUACUUGGAACUUUUACAUGCUAAGACCAUAUCCUCCUCAUGUGUAAUUUUCUUGAAAUGGCAAGCCCUUAUGCUGGUGCAUUUUGCAAUGUGCCUUCUGAUUAAUGUGUCGAAGUUGGAUCGGGUACCAUUUAUGUGUACAUGAUUCAAUCUUCAGUGCCAACUUAUUUUGUUUGGCCCAUAUCGUUCUCACUUUCAAGCCUUGAUUUAUUAUACCUUUAGCUUUGAUAAGGUAUUUUCACCAACGACAAGAGACUACCUAACUGCUCAUUGUGGGCAUUUUCCUUAUAAAUUAGAAGAGCAAAUGGUUACGUGGUGAGACAGAUUUGUGUUAUCACGUGCUUAGACCGUUCUGCAUGUGCUAGCUAUGGACCUAGAAAAUGAAGAUACUGAAAUUUUCCUCGCAAAUGCAGGCUCCUGGAAGAACUAAUUUAGAGUGCCAUAUCUACAGUUGAUGUCAUCAAUGAUUCAGUAGAUCCUUUAUAGAAAAUCCUCUAUCUGUUAUGCUCAUCUCUCACGAUGAAAUUUUGGCUCAGAUUUCCUGUCAGGUUUGCCAGGGAAAGAGUUGAAAGAAGACAGAUAACUACCUAACUGCUCAUUGUGGGCAUUUUCCUUAUAAAUUAGAAGAGCAAAUGGUUACGUGGUGAGACAGAUUUGUGUGAUCACGUGCUUAGACCGUUCUGCAUGUGCUAGUUAUGGACCUAGAAAAUGAAGAUACUGAAAUUUUCCUCGCGAAUGCAGGCUCCUGGAAGAACUGAUUUAGAGUGCCAUAUCUACAGUUGAUGUCAUCAAUGAUUCAGUAGAUCCUUUAUAGAAAAUCCUCUAUUUGUUAUGCUCAUCUCUCAUGAUGAAAUUUUGGCUCAGAUUUCCUGUCAGGUUUGCCAGGGAAAGCGUUGAAAGAAGACAGAUAAUAUCUUUCAAUAUGCACAUAUCCCCAGAAAGCAAUUUGGUAAUAUCAUAUUUGUUUAUUAGAAUAUGUUUGCACAACUCCAUAAAGUUCUGACCAAUAGAUAGAAGUGAUUAUAAUGAACAUGUGUAGCUGACAAAACAACUACCCUUGAUGAUUAUUUUACCCCAUCAACCAGGUGAAUGCUAUAUGUACCUGAAGUAUUAGUUCGGGAUGUUUUGUCUCUCUUAUGGACACAAAUAUCUAGCUUCUAAGAACUAAUACAUAUGCACAUUAUGUUGUACAUAAAAAUGAUAAUGUUUUUAUGAUUGAGCACAUGUAGAUAAAGGAAAUAGUUAUUCCAGAUAAACCGUUGGUCUUUCACAGUUAUAAUAUGUAUUACUAUAGAAGCAGAAUCCGAUUUUCUUAUCUAGCUGCAGUAGUGAGAUAAAUCUUUGUGUGCACUUGCAUAGUUUAGGUUUUCGUUGUAAUUAUACGUACUAUCUUGUGAUUGUGGUCUUCAUUUUUAUGACUUCUGCUCUUUGUGUCAAUAUACACUUUCCCAGAAUAAAUAUCAAUUCUUUAGUUUUCAUUUUUUAUCAGGUGAAGCAGCAACACAUCUAUGUUUUUAUCAUCUGGGAUGUUUGGAACUUUAUUAUCUUUGACUGAUUGCGUACCUUUGUUUUCAAACACUGGCUGGGCUCAAGAAUUCUACUUGGCUUAUUUAGAGAAGCAUAUGUAAGCUAUAUUUGAUAAAUGCUCUCAGCCUUAGGUUGCUAAUAUUGGAAAGGUGGACAUAUAAUCUGGUCACUUCUUGACUCCGAGAGUUAGGCUGUUUGAGAAGAUUGUAAGCUUAUGGAACUGUCUGCCUAUCGUCAAGAACCUCUGAUGCAAUUGCAUAUUUUGUUCUGUACAAAUCGACAAGCUGCAGGAGUUAGAUGAGGGAAGCUGCAUCUAUUUCUCCCUAAAGAGAAAAACGCAUCUAUACUUUGCCAUGGUGCACCACACUAGCUUAUCCAAGGGCUCUAAGAUAGCGUAUGCCUUAGCUUUGCCUCAUAUGAAGUCCAUCACAUCUGAACACGGUUCUUCUUGUUUCUGGAACUUACAACAACUAAAACUUAUCAUAUCUGCUCCAUUAUUUGGCAAACUAGGCCGAGAAAGCCAUGAUGUUUCCUUUGUGUAUUCUAAAUGGGCUGCUGUGUUGGAUGGAAUAACACAACCUCCUUUUAUUUGCAUGCAAAAGAAACAGAGAGCUUGUAAAGACUGUACGAUUUGUAUUUAACCCAGGGCACACUAUGAGCAUAUGACCAUUUUAACAA
Molecule: long non-coding RNA, 3202 nt
Organism: Triticum aestivum (bread wheat)
Lineage: Eukaryota; Viridiplantae; Streptophyta; Magnoliopsida; Poales; Poaceae
Exons: 3
Source: RefSeq, a predicted model, not a curated record